This 85-nucleotide transfer RNA is filed under the name marine eukaryotic metagenome. It matches the Rfam family "tRNA". Rfam says of the family: Transfer RNA (tRNA) molecules are approximately 80 nucleotides in length. Their secondary structure includes four short double-helical elements and three loops (D, anti-codon, and T loops). The record is from RNAcentral.
GAGAGAUGGCAGAGUGGUUGAAUGCACCGGUCUUGAAAACCGGCAUAGGGUUAAACCUAUCGGGGGUUCGAAUCCCCCUCUCUCC